AUGAUAGGCAAUGAUAAUCGCGACGACGCCUUCAAAAAGGAAACGAUCUUCGCCGUCGCCGGUCCGUCCGAAGAUAGAACAGGUGUCCAAGCUUCCGUUGUUGCCCCCGACUCCAGUGGAGCCCCGGAUCUUCAGCAUGCUCUCUCUCUUCUGUCAAGCAACCCAGUGGGUGCUGUCAACCUCCAGCCAGGUUCCCAGAUGCACUCUGGGGUGGCAGCCAUUGCCGGCAGCCCCAACCCCACGAUGCACGCGCUGGGAUCAUCGGCAGGGCUCUGGCUAGACGGCGGCCCGCCCCUCGAUGAUCACCCACGGUUCCAGGUCUUCGAGCGCUUGGGUGACCACGACAGCGAGCUCCAGCUCCCAAAGCCUUCCUAUGACCACGCCUCGCACUUCGACCGGAUGCACUGA
Molecule: ribosomal RNA, 408 nt
Filed under: Triticum aestivum (bread wheat)
Lineage: Eukaryota; Viridiplantae; Streptophyta; Magnoliopsida; Poales; Poaceae
Description: partial small subunit ribosomal RNA
Source: RNAcentral